RNAcentral lists this ribosomal RNA (2832 nucleotides) under Verrucomicrobiales bacterium. RNAcentral's name for it is "bacterial LSU rRNA". It matches the Rfam family "Bacterial large subunit ribosomal RNA". Lineage: Bacteria; Pseudomonadati; Verrucomicrobiota; Verrucomicrobiia; Verrucomicrobiales. The record is from RNAcentral.
AGGGCACACGGUGGAUGCCUUGGUGCUAGAAGGCGAUGAAGGACGUGAUAAGCUGCGAUAAGCCUCGGAUAGCGGCACUUACGCUAUAAUCCGGGGAUUUCCGAAUGGGGUAACCUGGCCCGCGUAAUAGUGGGUCGUCCCUCCCUGAAUAUAUAGGGGAGGGUACGCGAUACCCGGUGAAGUGAAACAUCUCAGUAACCGGAGGAAAAGAAAGCGAAAGCGAUUCCGUAAGUAGUGGCGAGCGAAAGCGGAUCAGCCCAAACCGGGGGCUUUGCCCCCGGGGUUGUAGGGCUCCAAUAUGGUAUCCCAAUUGUUAGGUGAAGCGUAUGGAAAGGCGCUCCAUAGAAGGUGAAAGGCCUGUAACCGAAAACAUGAAGGAGCUUAGGAUGUCCCUGAGUAAUACGGAACACGUGAAACUCCGUAUGAAUCUGCGCCGACCAUGGCGUAAGGCUAAAUACUAACUAGCGACCGAUAGUGAACAAGUACCGUGAGGGAAAGGUGAAAAGUACCGCUGCGAGCGGAGUGAAAUAGAACCUGAAACCGUGUGCCUACAAGGUGUGGGAGCCCCCUCGGGGGUGACCGCGUGCCUUUUGCUUAAUGAGUCUACGAGUUAGUGUCUGUGGCAAGCUUAAGCGCUUUUGGCGUGUAGGCGUAGCGAAAGCGAGUCCGAAUAGGGCGAACAUAGUCGCAGGCGCUAGACCCGAAACGGAGGUGACCUACCCAUGGCCAGGUUGAAGCGUGAGUAAAAUCACGUGGAGGACCGAACCGGUACAGGUUGAAAACUGUUCGGAUGAGCUGUGGGUCGGAGUGAAAGGCUAAUCAAACCCCGUGAUAGCUGGUUCUCCUCGAAAUGCAUUUAGGUGCAGCGUCGCGUGCUGACCCUCGGGGGUAGAGCACUGAAUGAGCUAGGGCCCAUACCAGGGUACCAAACUCAACCAAACUCCGAAUACCGGGGGGUGGAACGCGGCAGUGAGACUGCGGGGGAUAAGCUCCGUAGUCGAAAGGGAAACAGCCCAGAUCAGCAGCUAAGGUGCCUAAAUAGUGCUCAGUGGAAAGGAGGUGGGAUUUCAUAGACAGUGAGGAUGUUGGCUUAGAAGCAGCCACCAUUUAAACAAAGCGUAACAGCUGACUCAUCGAGAGAUCCUGCGCCGAAAAUGAUUGGCGAUAAGCACUAUACCGAAGCUCUGGAUGCACAGCUUGCUGUGCGUGGUAGAGGAGCAUUCUCAACACGUUGAAGCCGUAAGGUGACUGAUGGUGGAGAGUUGAGAAGUGAGUAUGUAGACAUGAGUAACGAUAAGCCAGGUGAAAUCCCUGGCCGCCGUAAACCCGAGGUUUCCUGGGCAAUGUUGGUCAUCCCAGGGUUAGUCGGGACCUAAGCCGAGGCCGAUGGGCGUAGGCGAUGGAAAGCUGGUUAAUAUUCCAGCACCUCCGAAACUUAAACUAGAAGGACGCGGAUUCGGAAAAGGCCUGCCGGCUGAAAGUGGCAGGGGCGCAAGCUGACGGGAAUCCUUCGGGUGCACCGGAUCCUUUAAAGAAUCUGCCAAGAAAAGUUCUAGUGUAUGCUAAGGGGCCCGUACCGUAAACCGACACAGGUGGGUAGGUAGAAUAUACUAAGGCGCAAGAGUGAAACCCUGUUAAGGAACUCGGCAAUCUAGCCCCGUAACUUCGGGAGAAGGGGUCCCGGGAUUCGUCCCGGGCGCAGUGAAAGGGCCCAUCCGACUGUUUAGCAAAAACACAGCAUUCUGCGAACAUGAAAAUGGAAGUAUAGGAUGUGACACGUGACCAAUGCCAAAAGAUUAAGGGGAGAUGUUAGCUUUCGAGCGAAGCUUUGAUCCUUCCUGGUGAAUGUCGGCCGUAACUAUAACGGUCCUAAGGUAGCGAAAUUCCUUGUCGGGUAAGUUCCGACCUGCACGAAUCGUGCAACGAGAUGGGCGCUGUCUCAACAGGGAGCUCAGUGAAAUUGUAUCCGCGGUGAAGAUGCCGCGUACCCGCAGAAGGACGGAAAGACCCUAUAGACCUUAACUGUAAGCUGUCACUGGUUUUUCGGUUUCAAUGCUCAGCAUAAGUGGGAGGCUUUGAACCGGCGCUUUAGGGCGUCGGGGAGCCAACAGUGAGAUACCACCCUUUGGUGUUGGAAAAUCUAACAUCUCGCCUUGAAUCAGGCAGAUGGACAAUGGCAGCCGGUCAGUUUGACUGGGGCGGUCUCCUCCUAAAGAGUAACGGAGGAGCGCGAAGGUAGGCUCAGCGCGGUUGGCAAUCGCGUUUCGAGUGCAUUGGCAUAAGCCUGCCUAACUGUGAGACCUACAAGUCGAACAGAGACGAAAGUCGGCCAAAGUGAUCCGGCGGUGGAAUAUGGAAUCGCCGUCGCUCAUCGGACAAAAGGUACCUUAGGGAUAACAGGCUGAUCGCGCCCAAGAGUUCAUAUCGACGGCGCGGUUUGGCACCUCGAUGUCGGCUCGUCACAUCCUGGGGCUGGAGAAGGUCCCAAGGGUUCGGCUGUUCGCCGAUUAAAGUGGCACGCGAGCUGGGUUCAGAACGUCGCGAGACAGUUCGGUCCUCUAUCCUCUGCGGGCGUAGGAAACUUGAGGGGUUCAAACUCUAGUACGAGAGGACCGAGUUUGACGAGCCUCUGGUGCUCCGGUUGUCGCGUCAGCGGCAUAGCCGGGCAGCUAAGCUCGGAACAGAUAAGCGCUGAAAGCAUCUAAGCGCCAAGCUAUUCCCAAGAUAAGGUUUCCCUGAAGGAUCGUGGAAGACUACCACGUUGAUAGGCUGCGGGUGCAAGAAUGGUAACAUUUUUAGCUUAGCAGUACUAAUUAUCCGUUCGACUUGUUU